CCAGGAGUUUCCUUUCCUAUUAAUUUUAUCCAAAAUUCAUUUCUUCUUAUACUCCUAUAAUACUAGAAGUUUUCAACAUAGGAAUACCAUUAUGGUGAUGAAUAAUAAGCUUGAUUGAUUGAGAUGGAAUCUUUUCUUCAUCAGAGUGCUAAAAACAGAGAAUUUUUUGCUUUCUCCGUAAGUCAUGGGCGUUGAUAGAAGGACUUCUAUCUGAUAAAGAUGGACUUGAAAGCAUUCUUGAUUCUCAUUCUAUGGUCAAACAAAUUAAUGACAAGCAAGCCGGGCAUGGCGUCAAGAUCAAGAUGGCGAUGUCAUGAGGUCCUACUUUGCCGGUCUUCUCUGCGCCUGUUCGCCGCCCACCGUCCACUGUUGGGCCUUUCGACGAAUCCCCGCUGUGAUGAGCUUCCAACGUCCAUUCGGUUUUCGGUUCCCGGCGUGUGCGUGAUCGGAGUGUGCUGUUUCUUUUCUUGUUUUAUUUCCAUGUUCUGUUGCUUCUUUAAGAUGUAUUUGUGUUUUGGCGUAUGCUUUUUCCCUGUAUUGUUUAUUUCUCUGUUUUGUUCGGCUUGUAAUAAGGCUCUUUCCUCUUUCACUCGAUCUAUGUCGCCUUCGGGUUAAUUAAUUUUGGUCCAGACCUUUGGGUUGUGAAUGUGAUCAUUAUCCUGGCCUUCGAGUCGAGGAGGAAGAGUUUCGGCAUGAGAGUCUUUCCGCUCUCAGGGUCGAGGAAUAAUUACUAUCUAUGCAUUUGAUUGAGUC
Corylus avellana is the source of this 753-nucleotide long non-coding RNA. RefSeq lists it as uncharacterized. Lineage: Eukaryota; Viridiplantae; Streptophyta; Magnoliopsida; Fagales; Betulaceae. The record is from RefSeq and is a predicted model, not a curated record.